This is a long non-coding RNA of Mustela lutreola (European mink), 464 nucleotides long. RefSeq lists it as uncharacterized. The transcript has 3 exons. The record is from RefSeq and is a predicted model, not a curated record. Lineage: Eukaryota; Metazoa; Chordata; Mammalia; Carnivora; Mustelidae.
UCUCAACGCACAUCCUAACUUAAUGGCCAUGACAGUGGUAAUCGUGGCCUUUAGGCUGAAGGAUUAUCUUCCUCCUCUGGGACUGUGAAUACUGGAGGAAAUUGGGAUACAAAUCCUACAGCUACAUGUGGACCGUCAGGAAUUGGCCGUCAUGACUCAGACAGAGGAAAUAGGAAACACCUAUCUCUGAGACGUCAUUUAAGCGAAAUGAUGAAGACCAGGCAGCCACAUCAUGGUCCUGUAGGAUUCCAGAUAAACAGUGAUUUGACAAGGCAAAGACGUGGAAAAAUAGAAGGUAAGAUCACAAUGAUGAGUUUUUGUUUGUUUGUUUGUUUUUAAAGAUUUUAUUUAUUUAUUUGACAGGCAGAGAUUACAAGUAGGCUGAGAGGCAGGCAGAGAGAGAGGAGGAAGCAGGCUCCCCACUGAGCAGAGAGCCCGAUGCGGGGCUCGAUCCCAGGACCCUG